ACUGGGACUGAGACACGGCCCAGACUCCUACGGGAGGCAGCAGUGGGGAAUUUUCCGCAAUGGGCGCAAGCCUGACGGAGCAAUACCGCGUGAGGGAGGAAGGCCUUUGGGUUGUAAACCUCUUUUCUUAAGGAAGAAGAUCUGACGGUACUUAAGGAAUCAGCAUCGGCUAACUCCGUGCCAGCAGCCGCGGUAAUACGGAGGAUGCAAGCGUUAUCCGGAAUUAUUGGGCGUAAAGCGUCCGCAGGCGGCAUUAUAAGUCUGCUGUCAAAGACCGCAGCUCAACUGCGGAAAGGCAGUGGAAACUGUAAAGCUAGAGUACGGUAGGGGUAGAGGGAAUUCCCAGUGUAGCGGUGAAAUGCAUAGAUAUUGGGAAGAACACCAGUGGCGAAAGCGCUCUACUGGGCCGUAACUGACGCUCAGGGACGAAAGCUAGGGGAGCGAAAGGGAUUAGAUACCCCUGUAGUCCUAGCUGUAAACGAUGGAUACUAGGCGUAGCUUGUAUCGACCCGAGCUGUGCCGAAGCUAACGCGUUAAGUAUCCCGCCUGGAGAGUACGCACGCAAGUGUGAAACUCAAAGGAAUUGACGGGGGCCCGCACAAGCGGUGGAGUAUGUGGUUUAAUUCGAUGCAACGCGAAGAACCUUACCAGGGCUUGACAUGUCGCGAAUCUAGGGGAAACUUUAGAGUGCCUUCGGGAACGCGAACACAGGUGGUGCAUGGCUGUCGUCAGCU
RNAcentral lists this ribosomal RNA (734 nucleotides) under uncultured cyanobacterium. RNAcentral describes it as "bacterial SSU rRNA". It matches the Rfam family "Bacterial small subunit ribosomal RNA", at positions 312 to 1060 of the family's 1533-position model. The record is from RNAcentral. Lineage: Bacteria; Bacillati; Cyanobacteriota.